Molecule: ribosomal RNA, 379 nt
Filed under: uncultured bacterium
Lineage: Bacteria
Description: bacterial SSU rRNA
Rfam family: Bacterial small subunit ribosomal RNA
Source: RNAcentral
AAUGAACGUUGGCGGCGUGGAUUAGGCAUGCAAGUCGAGCGGAAAGGCCCGCAAGGGCACUCGAGCGGCGUAAGGGACAGUAAUGUGUAGGUACGUACCCCUGGGUCUAGGAUAGCUGCGGGAAACUGCAAUUAAUACUAGAUGACGUCUCCGGACCAAAGGUGUGAUUCCACCCAGGGAGCGGCCUACAUCCUAUUAGCUAGUUGGUGAGGUGACGGCUCACCAAGGCGAAGAUGGGUAGCAGGUGUGAGAGCACGACCUGCGUCACUGGGACUGAGACACUGCCCAGACACCUACGGGUGGCUGCAGUCGAGAAUCUUCGGCAAUGGGCGAAAGCCUGACCGAGCGACGCCGCGUGCGGGAUGAAGGCCUGGUGUAA